UACGUAGGCAGCAAGCGUUGUUCGGAGUUACUGGGCGUAAAGGGUGCGUAGGCGGUUGUUUAAGUUUGGUGUGAAAUCUCCCGGCUCAACUGGGAGGGUGCGCCGAAUACUGAAUGACUUGGAGUGCGGGAGAGGAAAGUGGAAUUCCUGGUGUAGCGGUGAAAUGCGCAGAUAUCAGGAAGAACACCAAUGGCGAAAGCAGCUCUCUGGGACGGUACUGACGCUGAGACGCGAAAGCGUGGGGAGCGAACAGG
RNAcentral lists this ribosomal RNA (254 nucleotides) under uncultured bacterium. RNAcentral's name for it is "partial 16S ribosomal RNA". It matches the Rfam family "Bacterial small subunit ribosomal RNA", at positions 524 to 776 of the family's 1533-position model. The record is from RNAcentral.